RNAcentral lists this ribosomal RNA (253 nucleotides) under uncultured bacterium. RNAcentral describes it as "partial 16S ribosomal RNA". It matches the Rfam family "Bacterial small subunit ribosomal RNA", at positions 524 to 776 of the family's 1533-position model. The record is from RNAcentral.
AACGUAGGGCGCAAGCGUUGUCCGGAAUUAUUGGGCGUAAAGAGCUCGUAGGCGGCUUGUCACGUCGAUUGUGAAGGCCCGAGGCUCAACCUCGGAACUGCCUUCGAUACUGCGGGUCUCGAGUCCGGGAGAGGUGAGUGGAAUUCCUAGUGUAGAGGUGAAAUUCGUAGAUAUUAGGAAGAACACCAGUGGCGAAGGCGGCUCACUGGCUCGGUACUGACGCUGAGGCGCGAAAGCGUGGGGAGCAAACAGG